This is a long non-coding RNA of Cyprinus carpio (common carp), 1488 nucleotides long. The record is from Ensembl. Lineage: Eukaryota; Metazoa; Chordata; Actinopteri; Cypriniformes; Cyprinidae.
AUGCCUCUGUGCCUUAGACAUGUGGAAGAAACCUUGAUUCUUGAAUCAGGGCCCGGUGCUGGGAGCUCCUUGUCGCUGUAUAACACUAGCAACGGACACAUCCAUCACCGGCUGGGGUGCGGUCAUGAGUGGCCACCCUGCCCACGGUCUGUGGAGUGGUCGCCAUCUGACAUGGCAUAUCAAUUGUCUGGAGAUGCUGGUCGUGUAUCAAGCAUUGAAAGACUUCCUCCUAGACCUGAGAGGUCACCAUGUGUUGGUGCGCACCGACAACACAUCAGUGGUCUCUUACAUCAACCACCAGGGAGGUCUGCGUUCGCGACCCUUGUACAAGCUGGCGCACCAGAUCCUUGUGUGGUCCCCGGACAAACUCCUCUCACUCAGAGCAGUAUAUAUUCCUGGACAUCUCAAUGUAGGAGCAGAUGUCCUGUCAAGACAGGGGCCAAGGCCCGGGGAAUGGAUGCUUCACCCCAAGGUGGUGAAGCAAAUAUGGAGAAUUUUUGGCCAGACUCAGGUGGACCUCUUUGCUACUCAGGAGACAUCGCAAUGUUCCCUCUGGUUCUCCCUAGUUCAUUCAGCUACUCUGGGACUGGACGCUAUGGUACAGACUUGGUACCGACGGGACGGGACGGGGUUUGGUUGUUAUUAGUAGCCCCAUUCUUGCCGGGCCGAGUAUGGUUCUCAGAUCUGAUCUUGCUCCUCGGACGGCUCUCCAUGGGAGAUUCCAAUCAGGAGAGAUCUACUCUCACAGACGCAGGGUACGAUAAUUCACCCCCGCCCGGUGUUGUGGAAACCAUGGGUGUGGCCCCUGAGGGGGCACAGCUCAUAGGAUCCGGUCUCUCAACCGAGGUUGUUGAGACCAUCCUCCAAUCGAGAGCUCCCUCAACGAGGAAACUGUACACCAUGAGAUGGAAACUCUUCACCUCAUGGUGCAGAGACCGCCAGCUUGACCCAGCUAACUGCCCAGUUGGUACAGUUCUGGAGUUUUUAGAAGCCAGGUGCUCUGCAGGGUUGACCCACUCUACCUUAAAAGUUUACAUGGCGGCCAUUGCGGCCUACCAUGUCCUCCUUGGUAGCCAGUCAGUGGGUAGACACCCCCUAUUGACACGUUUCCUCUGCGGUGUGCUGAGGCUGAGGCCUCCAGUAUGGUCCCGUGUUCCCCCCUGGGACUUGGUUGUGGUAUUAGAGGCUCUCUUUAAAGCUCCAUUCGAGCCGAUUCAGGGGAUAUCAGACCAUUAUCUGACUGUAAAGACGGCUUUCUUGCUGGCUAUUACUUCUCCAAAGACAGUUGGAGACCUUCGGGCCCUCUCAGUGGUCCCUGCUCAUCUCGACUUUGCGUCCGGCAUGGCUAAAGCAUUUUUAUACCCUCGAGCGGGUUAUAUUUCAAAGUUUCUCUUCGUCAAACCACAACCAAUAGUGCUGCAGGCCUUCUGUCCUCCUCCCUUCCGGGAGACUGACCAGAAGAAGCUUAAUUGUAUGUGUCCAGUUUGA